This 305-nucleotide ribosomal RNA is filed under the name uncultured bacterium. Its description in RNAcentral is "bacterial SSU rRNA". It matches the Rfam family "Bacterial small subunit ribosomal RNA", at positions 333 to 655 of the family's 1533-position model. The record is from RNAcentral.
CGCUGCCUACGGGGGGCAGCAGUAAGGGAUAUUGGUCAAUGGGGGAAACCCUGAACCAGCAACGCCGCGUGAGGGAAGACGGUUUUCGGAUUGUAAACCUCUGUCCUCUGUGAAGAUGAUGACGGUAGCAGAGGAGGAAGCUCCGGCUAACUCCGUGCCAGCAGCCGCGGUAAUACGGAGGGUCCGAGCGUUAUCCGGAUUUAUUGGGUUUAAAGGGUGCGUAGGCGGUUUGGUAAGUUAGAGGUGAAAUGUCGGGGCUCAACCCCGAAACUGCCUUUAAUACUGUUUGGCUAGAGAAUCGGUGG